AUUGAACGCUAACGGCGUGCCUAACACAUGCAAGUCGAGCGGCAGCAUGAUCUGUAGCAAUACAGAUUGAUGGCGAGCGGCGGACGGGUGAGCAAUACAUAGGAAUCUACCUUGUAGUGGGGGAUAACCCGGGGAAACUCGGGCUAAUACCGCAUAAUCUCUACGGAGCAAAGCGGGGGAUCGUAAGACCUCGCGCUAAAAGAUGAGCCUAUGUUGGAUUAGCUAGUUGGUGAGGUAAUGGCUCACCAAGGCGACGAUCCAUAGCUGGUCUGAGAGGAUGAUCAGCCACACUGGGACUGAGACACGGCCCAGACUCCUACGGGAGGCAGCAGUGGGGAAUAUUGGACAAUGGGCGAAAGCCUGAUCCAGCAACGCCGUGUGUGUGAAGAAGGCCUUCGGGUUGUAAAGCACUUUUAGUUGGGAAGAAAAGCUUAUGGUUAAUAGCCAUGAGUGAUGACGUUACCAACAGAAAAAGCACUGGCUAACUCUGUGCCAGCAGCCGCCGUAA
This 508-nucleotide ribosomal RNA is filed under the name uncultured bacterium. RNAcentral describes it as "partial 16S ribosomal RNA". It matches the Rfam family "Bacterial small subunit ribosomal RNA", at positions 30 to 523 of the family's 1533-position model. The record is from RNAcentral.